GACGAACGCUGGCGGCGUGCUUAACACAUGCAAGUCGAACGGAAAGGCCCUGCUUUUGUGGGGUGCUCGAGUGGCGAACGGGUGAGUAACACGUGAGUAACCUGCCCUUGACUUUGGGAUAACUUCAGGAAACUGGGGCUAAUACCGGAUAGGAGCUCCUGCUGCAUGGUGGGGGUUGGAAAGUUUCGGCGGUUGGGGAUGGACUCGCGGCUUAUCAGCUUGUUGGUGGGGUAGUGGCUUACCAAGGCUUUGACGGGUAGCCGGCCUGAGAGGGUGACCGGCCACAUUGGGACUGAGAUACGGCCCAGACUCCUACGGGAGGCAGCAGUGGGGAAUAUUGCACAAUGGGCGGAAGCAUGAUGCAGCAACGCCGCGUGUGGGAUGACGGCCUUCGGGUUGUAAACCGCUUUCGCCUGUGACGAAGCGUGAGUGACGGUAAUGGGUAAAGAAGCACCGGCUAACUACGUG
Molecule: ribosomal RNA, 468 nt
Filed under: uncultured bacterium
Lineage: Bacteria
Description: partial 16S ribosomal RNA
Rfam family: Bacterial small subunit ribosomal RNA
Source: RNAcentral